UCGAUGGUGACCCCGGAGAGGCC
Molecule: small RNA, 23 nt
Filed under: Bombyx mori (domestic silkworm)
Lineage: Eukaryota; Metazoa; Arthropoda; Insecta; Lepidoptera; Bombycidae
Description: ovarian small RNA-28492
Source: RNAcentral